AUGGAAGAUUAUUCACAAAACUCAAAAUGGAAGUAUCAUGUUUUCUUGAGUUUUAGGGGAGAAGACACGCGCUUAGGCUUCACCGAUCACCUAUAUCCAGCUUUGGUGCACAAGGAUGUUCGUUUCAUAGGUAUAUGGGGGAGGUCUCUGGAGAAAGAAAUCAAGGUCUGCUACAGUUACAAAAUAAAAUUCUUUCUCAUCUGA
This is a non-coding RNA of Vicia faba (fava bean), 204 nucleotides long. The record is from the annotation of a GenBank genome assembly. Lineage: Eukaryota; Viridiplantae; Streptophyta; Magnoliopsida; Fabales; Fabaceae.